This 253-nucleotide ribosomal RNA is filed under the name uncultured bacterium. RNAcentral's name for it is "partial 16S ribosomal RNA". It matches the Rfam family "Bacterial small subunit ribosomal RNA", at positions 524 to 776 of the family's 1533-position model. The record is from RNAcentral.
UACAGAGGGGGCGAGCGUUGUUCGGAAUUACUGGGCGUAAAGGGCGCGUAGGCGGCCUGCUAAGUCGAACGUGAAAUCCCUGGGCUCAACCCAGGAACUGCGUCCGAUACUGGUUGGCUUGAAUCCGGGAGAGGGAUGUGGAAUUCCAGGUGUAGCGGUGAAAUGCGUAGAUAUCUGGAGGAACACCGGUGGCGAAGGCGACAUCCUGGACCGGCAUUGACGCUGAGGCGCGAAAGCCAGGGGAGCAAACGGG